AGCGAACGCUGGCGGCAGGCUUAACACAUGCAAGUCGAACGCCCCGCAAGGGGAGUGGCAGACGGGUGAGUAACACGUGGGAACGUACCCUUUGGUUCGGAAUAACUUGGGGAAACUCAAGCUAAUACCGGAUAAGCCCUUAUGGGGAAAGGUUUACUGCCGAAGGAUCGGCCCGCGUCGGAUUAGCUAGUUGGUGAGGUAAUGGCUCACCAAGGCGACGAUCAGUAGCUGGUCUGAGAGGAUGAUCAGCCACGCUGGAACUGAGACACGGCCCAGACUCCUACGGGAGGCAGCAGUGGGGAAUAUUGGACAAUGGGGGCAACCCUGAUCAAGCCAUGCCGCGUGAGUGAUGAAGGCCUUAGGGUUGUAAAGCUCUUUUACCCGGGACGAUAAUGACUGUACCGGGAGAAUAAGCCCCGGCUAACUUCGUGCCAGCCGCCGCGGUAA
RNAcentral lists this ribosomal RNA (447 nucleotides) under uncultured bacterium. Its description in RNAcentral is "partial 16S ribosomal RNA". It matches the Rfam family "Bacterial small subunit ribosomal RNA", at positions 29 to 523 of the family's 1533-position model. The record is from RNAcentral.